This 480-nucleotide ribosomal RNA is filed under the name uncultured bacterium. RNAcentral's name for it is "partial 16S ribosomal RNA". It matches the Rfam family "Bacterial small subunit ribosomal RNA", at positions 29 to 507 of the family's 1533-position model. The record is from RNAcentral.
AUGAACGCUGGCGGCGUGCUUCACACAUGCAAGUCGAACGAAACACCUUAUUUGAUUUUCUUCGGAACUGAAGAUUUGGUGAUUGAGUGGCGGACGGGUGAGUAACGCGUGGGUAACCUGCCCUGUACAGGGGGAUAACAGUCAGAAAUGACUGCUAAUACCGCAUAAGACCACAGCACCGCAUGGUGCAGGGGUAAAAACUCCGGUGGUACAGGAUGGACCCGCGUCUGAUUAGCUGGUUGGUGAGGUAACGGCUCACCAAGGCGACGAUCAGUAGCCGGCUUGAGAGAGUGAACGGCCACAUUGGGACUGAGACACGGCCCAAACUCCUACGGGAGGCAGCAGUGGGGAAUAUUGCACAAUGGGGGAAACCCUGAUGCAGCGACGCCGCGUGAGUGAAGAAGUAUUUCGGUAUGUAAAGCUCUAUCAGCAGGGAAGAAAAUGACGGUACCUGACUAAGAAGCCCCGGCUAACUACGUG